GAGCGGCGCCUUCCCCUGUGGGCGCGGGGCGGGCUCGCCUCAACGCCCCGCUUCCCGCCCGCCGAGCGGGGGCGGCGUGAGGGGCGAGCAGUGGCGGGCCGGGCCGGCCUUGAGGCGGGUGGGAGCUGCGGCCGAGCAGACCCGUAGCGGCCACGCUGAGGGGCGGGGGGGAGGACGGACACAGCCCUAGGGGGCCCUCCGGAGCUUUCGGCCCUGUCCUGGGUGGGAGCCCAGGCCCAGCACCGCCCGCCGCGGGAGCCAUGAGGGUGUCCCUCCACCUCAGCCUUCUGGGACGGGCAGCCAUCGGUGAGGCGCACCCACAGCCUUCGGGCCUCUCUAGCCGGGCUUGGCCAACAACCCUGCUGGGCAAAGGGGCAGAGCAGGAGAGGAAGCAGCUCAUGGCACUUUGAGGAUUUGCCUGAGGAAACGUUGCCCUCAGCAGCCUAAGGCGUGGAGCAGAGGACACCCCAGUGCGGCCGUGGCGGAGGCACCGCCGGUCCCCUGGAAGGUAUGCACAACUGUACAGCGUGGGAAGCCACGCCAGCGGAGCUUGGCCAGGCUGUCAAACAAGCAGCUGCUUACAUUAAAGGUGCAAUGGGAAAGUGGCUCACAUCUGUAUGCUAAAGGUGGUCGUCACGCCAACCCCAAACACCCAUGAUGUGGAAGCUCUCUGGCUUUCUGACGUCCUAUUGGAAACUCGAAUUCUGAUAGCAAAGGCUGAUACAGGGAAGAUGAAAUUAAGAAACUCCAUAGAGCUCACACUGUGAUCGUAUCACGGGCUGCAUUAUUCUUAUCUUCCUCCGCUGAAUCUGCCAAGUCAACUUCAAGAAGUCGUCCAUGGCAUUAAGAUAUUCCACCGAUCCUGAGUGCUCAUAAUCUGCACUAGAACUGAAUCCUGAAAGCUGCAAAGCUUACUGUUCUUACACUGCUGUACUAAUGUUUACCAAAUACCAUUCAUGAGCACAAAUUUUUCAUUAUCAAGAAGCUGUAAACAUCCUAAAGGACUUAGCACCCAUAAAUCUGGCUGAUACCUUGCCAGCCUUGUGAAAAGAUUGUGAGUGACACUGACCAUGAUCGAUGCCUUUGUCACUCCCCACAGACAUCUCUUUACCUCUCAAACACACAGUAGUCAAGCAAAUCCUGAAGAUUCCCACAUGUGGCACAUCAAUUUAUCUGUUCAUGGCCAAACCUCCCUGUUCCUGUGAGAGUCCUCAGAGAAGCUGCCCAAAGGCCACCUCCAAGUGCAUCUCUCUGAAGCUAAUGUUCACAGCUCAGCACAAAUUUAGGCCAAGACGUAGAGAUGAAACAGUUUUACUGGCAGUGUUCCUCCACUGCUGGACCUUUCCCUUACGGGGUCCUGCACCAGUCAGUGGAGAGGCCUCUGGCGAUAAACACUCAAGUGCCAACAGUGUGGAGGUGAUGCACAAGUGGUCAGUCCAGGCAGUAAUUCGGGACUAUUUUUGGAUGCAUUGUUGACACCGAGCUCCCACUUACCAGUCUGAGUAAUGCUUUUCAUCAUCUCCAGGUGACUUACCAUUUCUGUCCCUUCCUGGUGCAUGACUUGACUGCAAUUAUUCAUGCCUUCACCACCUCUCAGUUGAAGUACAGCAAUGUAAUGCACCUGGGAAAGAAGCUCACAGCACUUCAGAAACUCCAGCUAGUACACAGGACAUUGCAGAAAUCACCUCAGCAGCACUGGGAACCAUCCUGGACUCUACUCGAGUUCCCCGUAAAAUAGAAUCAAGUGCAGGGUUCUCACCUUCCUAAUCCUCCACACUGCUAGCCCACCAUAGCCAAAAGGCUGCCCAGUAGGAUGAGGAGUAUUGCUGCCACCUUCAUUACUGCCGGUCGGUGGAGGGAUGGGACAGCUUUGUGGCUGGAAAGUAGAACCAUCUCGGGAUAAAAUCUGAGGAUAUGGAAUGAACCAAGUAAAUAUCAUUAAUAAAUGUGCUGCCAAUUA
This is a long non-coding RNA of Grus americana (Whooping crane), 1960 nucleotides long. RefSeq lists it as uncharacterized. NCBI's taxonomy places the organism in Eukaryota, Metazoa, Chordata, Aves, Gruiformes, Gruidae. The record is from RefSeq and is a predicted model, not a curated record. The transcript is spliced from 3 exons.